This 24-nucleotide non-coding RNA is filed under the name Arabidopsis thaliana (thale cress). Lineage: Eukaryota; Viridiplantae; Streptophyta; Magnoliopsida; Brassicales; Brassicaceae. The record is from RNAcentral.
UAAAGAUUGAAGAACGUCCUGCUG